ACCUGGUUGAUUUUUUUUUUUCAUGUAUAUUACACACCUGUUCCUCAUUUGUUUCCUUAAGGUUGCCCUGUUACAUUAUAUACUCUUCAAGGGAGAGACAGUGUCUUCUCUGCAUGCACAUUUUGAGUGUGCUUAGGCCCUUGCUCUGCAAGGUUGUGGUACAGAUGGAUGGCCAGGCCUGAUUGGGAGCCCUUCCUAACUUACUAAGAGCUCCAAGUGGCUGCAAGAGCCUUGAUUAUGAUAAAUAGGUACCAGGUGUUUGAGCUUUAAAAGGAAAGAGUGAUAAAAAGAAAUUCAAGAAAAGGUAACAGAGCUACAUGAGAAAUGGACCUCUUUCUUUCUGUGCUUCUAUCCACUUUAGCCAUAUUUCCUUUACUCUUCUUCAUGAACAGUACAUGCCCCCAGUGGUUGCGGGGGCAUGGCAGCAGUUGGAGCGUGGCAGCGGGAAUGUGGCGGUGGUAAGUGGGGGAGCUCCUGCAGACACCGCCGGUGCAGGUGGUGGCUGGGGGGGAGGUUGGUGAGCACCAACCAGGGGUCAGUGAUCACCCACAGAUGCCACUAGCAGUGUCAUUAUUGGCCAGUGGGAAUUGUGGACCUCCUGCAGACGUUGGCAGGGUGGCAAGCAGUGACCGCCUGCCUUUUUGUAGGGAGUGUACUGCCAUACUCAGGGGGUGCAUGUGCACCUGCGUACACUCCCUUCACAUUGUCCCUGCUCUUCUUUCAGAGUCUUUAUCCUACCUUGAACACCAAAGCUGCUCUUGAACCUUGGGCUAUCUCCUAUGACUUUUUUUUGUUGUCAAAAAAUAUAUGUUCUUCCUUCUCUCCUGUGGUAUAACUAACAAAGUUAGUUAUCCUGCCGCAAAACCACAUGGAAACUCAAAGCACUGUAAUUUUUUAGUACUCGGUGGAGUGGAUGGAAAUAUAACACUGACUUUUCCUAGAACCUUGUAGUAAAAACUCAGGCCAGAGUCUCUACUAUGAUUUUGCAGCCAGUUAGCAUGAGGGGCAUAGUAGCUAUUCUGCUAUAAAUCCUAGUUGAAUUAACCUGCUUGGUCUUUCUGUGCCAGUUCCUACUGCCCAACCUUUAUGAGAACAGUUUAUACCAUGCUAGAACAGAAUGGCAGCUUCAGUAAAAGAAUUUUUAGAAGUUGACAACUUAUAUCAAUACAGCAGAGUGAAGGUGUAGCUGUAGCAUGUGCCAGCAUACCUGUGCUACCUUUAAUCUAGCUAGCCUGGUUAACAAGAGGGCUAGGGACAGAAGUUAUACAUAAACUGGUUUAAAUGACCAGAAACUGGUUUAAACCUGUAACAGAACAGAAGCUCAAUGUACAUAAACUGGUUUAAGAUAAACCUGGUUGAAAGUAGCAUCAGAUGUGACUGAUUUGGGUCAAACCACUUCAUGGAGCUUCUGUCCCAGAACCCUUCCUGGUUCAAGUUAAAUCAGUCCCCCAGCAUACCAGCAGGUUUUCCAGCCCUGGGCUGAGCUGCACUAUCUGUUCCAGAGAGCAGGGUUGGCCCUGCUCCUCUGCUCCCUAGCUGGAGUAGUGAGGGCUGGCUGACAAGGAGGUCAGGGGGCAAGCUUGGCUGGGGAUGCCACUCUGGCUGGGGACUGCCCUCCCCCCAUCCCCCAUCCCCCCAGCAAACCCUGGCUGGGGUCUGGGGCCAGGGAGGGGAGCUAAACACCCCUUCUCCCCCUUAAACUUACUGCUGGCUAUAACUUUGGACUACAAAUUCCAGAGGCACCUAAAAGCAGGAAGAGGAUGGGAGGAACAACCCUGAAGAUUCCUGUCGCCAUCACUCUGGACUGCAAAUCCCAGAGUCCUGGGAGGCAGCAGGAAGAGGAAGUAAACACACAGCCAGAGAGCUGUGCUCUAGCACCCCCUAGCUUCUGCCCUAAGCCACUGCUGGCAUGUGGCUACAUUUCCUGAAUCAAAGGUUUGAGUAAGUAAGGUAAAAAAAAGACUCAUGCAGUUUUCUAACAUUUCCACUUCUGGACCCCUCUGGAGCCCAACAGAGCAGAGAUCACGUGGAAUUGAAAAUUCAUGCCUCUGCCCCGAAGAGCCACACGUCUCUCAUACAGUUUAAUCAAGUCUAAACACGUAUUAGAAUUUUGAAGGCAAAUUGUGGCAGCAAUGAGGGUUGUUAGUCCUCAGAGCCCAACUCCGAAUAAUCACAGUGUUGGGGACUUGUGGAGCUUUCCACUAGGUAUUGAUCUACUGCCCGACCACACCUAGCGUCUGCAAAUUGCGUAUAAGAAUCAGACUCGGUGGUAAAUUUCAAAACGACUGGAUGAUAUUAUUACAAAGGUAAGGCAAAUAAUAGGAUAAUGAAACAUAUAUACAAUAGCAGGGAAUGAUACAACAAACAUUAUGAGGGAUGACCAACAGAAACAAGCAGAGAGCAAAGUAGCCUCUCUGACCAUCUCUCUACAUUUCUGUGCAGUAGUGUUGCAUGGCAGAAACUGUGACUGCACAGUAGUUUCGGGAGACUGUGCAGCCAGUGUCACCAAAAAGCCGUUUGUCAGCACUACUGCGGAGUAACUGUGGCAGAAAGCCACCUUUGUUUCUCCCCAAAAAACUUUGCUAUGUGACAGUUGUGAUUAGGAUGGGCCCAGCAGAGGAUACACACCUUUACCCUAUCUCUUCGGGUAACCUGAGCUGGAUACAUUCCUGAGGGAGGGGGGAAACCUGCUCCCUCUGCCUACGUGACUGGCAUCACAUACCUGGGUGAGGGGCUUCCUUCCUGGUGGGCUAGAGUUUGCCCGGCAACUAGUGAUGCUCUUCAAAUUGGUUGGCUGACAGCCAACAGGUGAUGGCUUCCAUUGGACCAGGUAAACGAGGUCGCAAGGGAUAUAUAAGUUAAGGACUGCCCAGGAGGAAGGGGGCAGCAGCCAUGAGGGAUACUCAGGAACAAAGAAGAGAUGUACCAUCUGAAAUUUACUUUAUCUCUCAGAACUCAUGAUCAAGGAACCACCUGCCUCCAGAAGGAUUCUCCAACUGCCUCUGGAUGAUACUUGUGAGUAAGCUAACUGAGAUCCAACUAGAUAUAUAGCUUGCAGUAACUCAUGUGAGAUCAAAGACUACCCCAGCCACAGGAGUUUGCUUGAUGGGAUUUCUCUGAUAUUGCUCUACCCUGUACCCUAUUCUAACCCUACCCUUUGUAACCAAUAAAGUUUUCCUUUGUAA
Molecule: long non-coding RNA, 3185 nt
Organism: Alligator mississippiensis (American alligator)
Lineage: Eukaryota; Metazoa; Chordata; Crocodylia; Alligatoridae
Exons: 2
Source: RefSeq, a predicted model, not a curated record